RNAcentral lists this ribosomal RNA (373 nucleotides) under uncultured eukaryote. Its description in RNAcentral is "partial 18S ribosomal RNA". It matches the Rfam family "Eukaryotic small subunit ribosomal RNA", at positions 592 to 976 of the family's 1831-position model. The record is from RNAcentral.
CAAUAGCGUAUAUUUAAGUUGUUGCAGUUAAAAAGCUCGUAGUUGGAUUUCGGUUGAGAACGGCCGGUCCGCCGUUUGGUGUGCACUGGCUGGUUUCAACUUCCUGUAGAGGACGCGCUCUGGCUUCACGGCUGGACGCGGAGUUUACGUGGUUACUUUGAAAAAAUUAGAGUGUUCAAAGCGGGCUUACGCUUGAAUAUUUCAGCAUGGAAUAACACUAUAGGACUCCUGUCCUAUUUCGUUGGUCUCGGGACGGGAGUAAUGAUUAAGAGGAACAGUUGGGGGCAUUCGUAUUUCAUUGUCAGAGGUGAAAUUCUUGGAUUUAUGAAAGACGAACUUCUGCGAAAGCAUUUGCCAAGGAUGUUUUCAUUAA